GGAGAUUCCAGGCAGAGGAAACUGCUUGGGGUAAAGAAAACAAAAAACGCAACCCCCCCAGCAUGGUGCGUACUGGAGAUGAGAAAAUGGAGGUACCAAAAAGUGGGCUCUGAACUGCAGAGCCUGGCUCCAGAGCCCUUGUAUUUGACUACUGGGAUCCACCGUUAUUCUCACAGCCGCGUUUCCCACAGGGCUGCUUUGUAUGGCCUCUUAGAAAAGUCCUGCCUGUCUCCACCAUCCAGACUAUGAUGUCCGUGAGGUCAGAGGAAAGGGAGAAUGUCUCACAUACAGAAAAUGCUUGAUCAACAUUGAUGGAAUCAUAAAUGGGCCUCAGCGGCACCUGUCCUGAGUCAGCAUCUCACAGAGGUUUUGCCAGCGCCAGCCACAUCUCCAGCAUGAAGGUGAUUGUCUGAGUGUGUCCAGUCCAGUUCCUGCCUUAAUAAAAAUCACUGCUGCAAGGGAGAGGGCUGCCAAGGCCCUGCCUCCCUCCAACCCCA
RNAcentral lists this long non-coding RNA (497 nucleotides) under Homo sapiens (human). RNAcentral describes it as "non-protein coding lnc-SMNDC1-2:1". Lineage: Eukaryota; Metazoa; Chordata; Mammalia; Primates; Hominidae. The record is from RNAcentral.